This 341-nucleotide ribosomal RNA is filed under the name Musoniola sp. 3 JMR-2016. Its description in RNAcentral is "partial 12S ribosomal RNA". Lineage: Eukaryota; Metazoa; Arthropoda; Insecta; Mantodea; Thespidae. The record is from RNAcentral.
AUACCCUAUUAUUUUUAAUGUAAAUGAUUUAAAAGCUGGAGUAAUUUUAGAUAUAAAUCUUUAAACUCAAAGAAUUUGGCGGUAUUAUAAUCUUUUUAGAGGAAUUUGUUAUUUAAUCGAUAAUCCACGUUGAACCUUACUUGUAUUAAUAUUUUUGUAUAUCACUGUUUUUGGGGAUACUUUCAGGUUUAUAAGAAAUUUUCAAUAUAAAUUAUUAAUUAAAAAUUCAAGUCAAGGUGCAGUUAUAUAUAAGUUGAAUAGUGAAUUACAAUAAAGUUUAUUUAUAACGGAUGAUUAUUUAAAAGUAGUGAUGAAGGUGAAUUUAAAUGUAAUUUUAUUAA